GACGAACGCUGGCGGCGUGGAUUAGGCAUGCAAGUCGAACGGUAUCAUCCUUUCGGGGGUGAGAGAGUGGCGAACUGGUGAGUAACACGUAGGUUAUCUACCCUCAAGACGGGGACAACCCAGGGAAACUUGGGCUAAUACCGGAUGUGAGCAACUUUUAGUUGUUUGAAAGGUGGCGUAAGCUGUCGCUUGGGGAUGAGCCUGCGUCCUAUUAGUUAGUUGGUGAGGUAACGGCUCACCUAGGCAAUGAUAGGUAGGCGGCCUUAACGGGUGGUCGCCCACACUGGGAUUGAGAUACGGCCCAGACUCCUACGGGAGGCAGCAGUCGAGAAUAGUCUACAAUGGUCGGAAGACUGAUAGUGCGACGCCGCGUGAACGAUGAAUCCCUUCGGGGUGUAAAGUUCUUUUAUAUGUGAGCAGUGCUUCUUAUAUUAACAGUAUGGGGAGAGAGAUAUUAGCAUAUGAAUAAGCAACGGCUAACUCCGUGCCAGCAGACGCGGU
RNAcentral lists this ribosomal RNA (501 nucleotides) under uncultured bacterium. RNAcentral describes it as "bacterial SSU rRNA". It matches the Rfam family "Bacterial small subunit ribosomal RNA", at positions 28 to 521 of the family's 1533-position model. The record is from RNAcentral.